CUUUGGCUGAUAAGAAAAAGAAAGACGUGUAAAGAUACUCUCCAUGUGUUUAAAGAUGCCAGAACCAACUGAUGCGAUGAUAACCACGCCAUUUUACCAGCAACAGCAGUAUGAAGUAUCCAAGUUCCUGAAGAUCAAGCCGUUGGUUUUGGGGAUUUUGGAAAUAUUGAUAGCCUUAUUGGGACUCGGUUUGACUAUCUGGAAUGAGAGUUUUUUCGUUAUCUGGUCACCAAUCAUUUUCAUCAUAAUUGGAGCUAUAACAGUCUCGGCUGCACACACACGUACACCGCGUCUGGUCAAAACCUCUCAAAUGCUCAGCUAUGCAAAUUUUGCAGUAGUUGUUUUCUCCCUCCGCGCUCACUUUAUUUACAUUCGGUCAACCCCUGUCAUGGUCAGUUAUGUGACCACAGAUAUGCCUGUCAACCACAUCAUGCAGAUGGGCCAGCCGGACCCCUCUGCAGAGGCCCAGCCUAUUAGUUCAGUCAUGUACGUGCUGCCAGCAGCACACGGCUCAGUCCCACCUGCGACUCUGCCAAAUUACGGUCACGUCCCCAAUGCAUCUCCACCAAUGUACAGUCCAGUACCAACUACACCUCCAUCCAACUACGACAAAGUCUCUGAUGCACUUCCACCAAAGUACUGUCCAGUCCCAACUGCUUCUCCACCAGCAUAUGAGCAUGAAGAUUUUCAGACCAGAAGAUGAAUAAUAUCUCAGACAAAAAUUGGAAUGUUUGACAUUUACUAAAUUUUUUGUGUAAUGGUGAAUGGAAAACCAAAAAUUAUACUUAUAAGUUUGUAAAUCGAAUGGAUGAGAAACAUGCAUCAGAGUCUUACGUUUUCAUUAUGUUUAAUUCGUUAUGUUUUCCACCA
This 870-nucleotide long non-coding RNA is filed under the name Sinocyclocheilus grahami. RNAcentral describes it as "lncRNA (ENSSGRG00000002430.1)". Lineage: Eukaryota; Metazoa; Chordata; Actinopteri; Cypriniformes; Cyprinidae. The record is from RNAcentral.